RNAcentral lists this ribosomal RNA (246 nucleotides) under uncultured bacterium. Its description in RNAcentral is "partial 16S ribosomal RNA". It matches the Rfam family "Bacterial small subunit ribosomal RNA", at positions 524 to 770 of the family's 1533-position model. The record is from RNAcentral.
UACGAAGGGUGCAAACGUUGCUCGGAAUCAUUGGGCGUAAAGCGCACGUAGGCGGCCUCAAAAGUCGGAUGUGAAAUCCCGUGGCUCAACCAUGGACGUGCAUUCGAAACUGCGAGGCUUGAGUAUGGAAGAGGGUCGCGGAAUUCCCGGUGUAGAGGUGAAAUUCGUAGAUAUCGGGAGGAACACCGUGGCGAAGGCGGUCUGACUGGGCGUGGAACCCGUAAGGGUUCUAAUAGCCGGACGACU